UACGUAGGGGGCAAGCGUUGUCCGGAUUUAUUGGGCGUAAAGAGCGUGUAGGCGGCUUUACAGGUCCGUUGUGAAAACUCGAGGCUCAACCUCGAGACGCCGGUGGAAACCGUAAGGCUAGAGUCCGGAAGAGGAGAGUGGAAUUCCUGGUGUAGCGGUGAAAUGCGCAGAUAUCAGGAGGAACACCGGUGGCGAAGGCGGAUCUCUGGGCCUUGCCUGACGCUGAGGCGCGAAAGCUAGGGGAGCGAACAGG
This 253-nucleotide ribosomal RNA is filed under the name uncultured bacterium. Its description in RNAcentral is "partial 16S ribosomal RNA". It matches the Rfam family "Bacterial small subunit ribosomal RNA", at positions 524 to 776 of the family's 1533-position model. The record is from RNAcentral.